CCUACGGGAGGCAGCAGUGAGGAAUAUUGGUCAAUGGCCGGAAGGCUGAACCAGCCAUGCCGCGUGAAGGUCAGUGCCCUAUGGGCGUUAAACUUCUUUUGUGCGGGAGCAAUAAUGGUCACGUGUGGCCAGACGAGAGUACCGUACGAAUAAGCAUCGGCUAACUCCGUGCCAGCAGCCGCGGUAAUACGGGGGAUGCAAGCGUUAUCCGGAUUUAUUGGGUUUAAAGGGUGCGUAGGCUGUGAGGUAAGUCAGCGGUGAAAUGCCCCCGCUCAACGGGGUGAAGUGCCAUUGAUACUGCCUGGCUGGAAUGCGGAUGCCGUGGGAGGAAUGUGUGGUGUAGCGGUGAAAUGCAUAGAGAUCACACAGAACACCGAUUGCGAAGGCAUCUCACGAAGCCGCGAUUGACGCUGAUGCACGAAAGCGUGGGUAUCAAACAGGAUUAGAUACCCGAGUAGUC
Molecule: ribosomal RNA, 460 nt
Filed under: uncultured bacterium
Lineage: Bacteria
Description: partial 16S ribosomal RNA
Rfam family: Bacterial small subunit ribosomal RNA
Source: RNAcentral